Pelobates cultripes (western spadefoot toad) is the source of this 228-nucleotide non-coding RNA. The record is from the annotation of a GenBank genome assembly. Lineage: Eukaryota; Metazoa; Chordata; Amphibia; Anura; Pelobatidae.
AGUGAGUCAAACUGGCUGUGUGGAUACAGUAUUAUGGGGCAGACUGGCUGGAUGGAUAGAUUAUUAUACGUCUAGACUGGCUGUUGGAAAGAGUAUUAUAGGGGCAGAUUGGUGGAUGCAUACAGUUUAGUGGGUCAGACUGGCUGGGUGGGUAGAGUGUUAGGUAGACAAACUGGGUGGAUUGAGUUCAGAGCGGCAGACUGACCAGGUGAUUAGUGUAUCAGUAAG